GGGCCCGUAGCUCAGAUGGGAGAGCGCUAGAAUCGCACUCUAGAGGCCAGGGGUUCAACUCCCCUCGGGUCCACCA
Molecule: transfer RNA, 76 nt
Filed under: Bacillota bacterium
Lineage: Bacteria; Bacillati; Bacillota
Description: Firmicutes bacterium (anaerobic digester metagenome) tRNA-Ala
Rfam family: tRNA
About the family: Transfer RNA (tRNA) molecules are approximately 80 nucleotides in length.
Source: RNAcentral